This 472-nucleotide ribosomal RNA is filed under the name uncultured bacterium. RNAcentral's name for it is "bacterial SSU rRNA". It matches the Rfam family "Bacterial small subunit ribosomal RNA", at positions 335 to 802 of the family's 1533-position model. The record is from RNAcentral.
ACUCCUACGGGAGGCAGCAGUGGGGAACAUUGCACAAUGGGCGCAAGCCUGAUGCAGCCAUGCCGCGUGUGUGAAGAAGGCCUUCGGGUUGUAAAGCACUUUCAGUCGUGAGGAAGGUAGUGUAGUUAAUAGCUGCAUUAUUUGACGUUAGCGACAGAAGAAGCACCGGCUAACUCCGUGCCAGCAGCCGCGGUAAUACGGAGGGUGCGAGCGUUAAUCGGAAUUACUGGGCGUAAAGCGCAUGCAGGUGGUUUGUUAAGUCAGAUGUGAAAGCCCGGGGCUCAACCUCGGAAUAGCAUUUGAAACUGGCAGACUAGAGUACUGUAGAGGGGGUAGGAAUUUCAGGUGUAGCGGUGAAAUGCGUAGAGAUCUGAAGGAAUACCGGUGGCGAAGGCGGCCCCUGGACAGAUACUGACACUCAGAUGCGAAAGCGUGGGAGCAAACAGGAUUAGAUACCCCUGGUAGACUGUCA